AGCCAGGUUCUGCGCAACAAAAACUCGCGAACCCCGCCAGGUCCGGGAGGAAGCAACGGUAGUGAGUAAUUUUGUGUGUUGCAGAAUACCUGGCUAUC
This is a non-coding RNA of Desulfobacterales bacterium SG8_35_2, 98 nucleotides long. The record is from Rfam. NCBI's taxonomy places the organism in Bacteria, Pseudomonadati, Thermodesulfobacteriota, Desulfobacteria, Desulfobacterales.